GGGGGGAGCGCAGGGUCCUGGGCUGUGUCCCCCGCGCCCUGGGCUCCGGGGCCUGCGCUGCUGGGAUCGCGCUCCCGCCCCGCAGCCCCCU
Molecule: non-coding RNA, 91 nt
Organism: Canis lupus familiaris (dog)
Lineage: Eukaryota; Metazoa; Chordata; Mammalia; Carnivora; Canidae
Source: Rfam